This 1435-nucleotide long non-coding RNA is filed under the name Macaca mulatta (Rhesus monkey). RNAcentral's name for it is "lncRNA (ENSMMUG00000058863.1)". The record is from RNAcentral. Lineage: Eukaryota; Metazoa; Chordata; Mammalia; Primates; Cercopithecidae.
CUUUUGUCAACUUUAUGAUCCAGGAAUGUCUUUUCCAGAGCCUGGCAGCCAUCUCUUUGAAAUGUAAACAUCAAGAAAUAGCACCUUUUACCCAGUUUUUCUGGAGAGCAGGAAUCUGACUUCAGUGGGCAACAUGUUUAAAGUUCCAAAAUUACCUUCUGCUAUAAACGUAUGACAAGCUUAUUUCUCCACUAACAAAGCCGAUAAGCUAAUACAGAUGGUCACUCCAAUUGCCAUGUAAGGUUAGGAUGAGCUAUGUGUAGUAAAUUGAACCUUCAAGUCCUCCUACUUAAGGACUAGUUACUGUUUAGCUUAAAAACUUGUAUGUAAUUAGUUGUUUCUGCCUAGAUAAAAGAUUCAGAUUUCUUGCUGUCUUUGCAUCUCUGGGCAGAUGACCAGAGAUCUCUGGGCAGAUGUCUCUGUCUUUGCAUUUCUGGGCAGAUGUCUCUAAUACCUUUAUGGAGAGAUUUUCUGGGUUGUGAGAUGAGUUUGUUUUUUAAUUACAUUUCCUUUAUGUUGUGCACACAUGCACAUGCACUUAUAUACACACACAUUUUGCAUUCAAUAUGUUUCCAAAUUUGUCUUACAUUUCUCUUUAUUAUUUACAGCCUUAAUACUGGCAACUCUGUUCAGUUCUUCCAUUUGCUCUGAUACACUGUGGGGAGAUUCUUCUUGACACCUUCCCAUUUAAGAUCCUUAUGUCAUCUCCAUUCUGGCUGUACACGGGAGCCAGGCAUUAUGCAGCCUUCCAAGAGCACGGUGUUUGUGUCAUGGACUAGCUCAGUAUGCCAUCAGCCUUUCCAUCAGUGGAUAGGUUUACCAAAGAACAAAUUUAAAAGAAUUUGUCCUCUGGAGAAAGUGAAGAGGAAGUCAUCUAUCAAGAGGUACAGUUGUCCCUCAGUAUCUGUGGAGGAUUGGUUCCAGGAUCCUUACAGAUACAAAAAUCUGCAGAUGCUCAAGUCCUUUAUAUAAAAUGGGAUAGGACUUGCAUAUAUCCUAUGCAUAUUCUUUUUCAUACUUUAAAUCAUCCCUAGAUUGCUUAUGAAUCCUUAAUACGAUAUAAAUGCUGGUAAAUACUUGUUGUAGGCCAGGCGCUGUGACUCAUUCCUUUAAUCCCAGUGUUUUAGGAGGCUGAGGCAGGAGGAUUGCUGGAGGCCAGGAGUUUGAGACCAACUUGGAUAACAUAAAAAGACCCUUGUCUCUACAAAAAAUUUAAAAGAAAAUACAUAGGCAUGGUGGUUCAUACCUGUGGUCCCAGCUACUUGGGAGACUGAGGAGGGAGGAGUUUGAGGCUGCAGUAAGUUAUCAUUGCACCACUGCACUGCAGCCUUGGCAACAGAGUAAGAGCCUGACUUUAAAAACAAAAAUAAACAAACAAAGUAGUAGUUGUAUUUUUUUUUAUUUUUAUGUUAUUAUAUUGUUAUUUUAUUUUCUG